GCAUGUCGGAGAAUCUAAAGGCGGGGACCGCAAGGCCUGCCGCUUGAAGCCGAGCCCGUGCACUAUCAGCUUGUUGGCGGGGUAAUGGCCCACCAAGGCGUUGACGGUUAGCUGGUCUGAGAGGAUGGUCAGCCACACUGGGACUGAGAUACUGCCCAGACUCCUACGGGAGGCUGCAGUCGAGAAUCAUUCGCAAUGGGCGAAAGCCUGACGGUGCGACGUCGCGUGGAGGAUGAAGGUCUUCGGAUUGUAAACUCCUGUCAUGUGGGAUAAAUGGCCCGGGCACGAAUAAUGCCUGGGAAUGAUCGUACCACAGGAGGAAGAGACGGCUAACUCUGUGCCAGCAGCCGCGGUAAUACAGAGGUCUCGAGCGUUGUUCGGAUUUACUGGGCGUAAAGGGAGCGUAGGCGGUUCAGUAUGUCGAAUGUGAAAUCCCACGACUCAACCGUGGAAUGGCAUUCGAAACUGCUGGGCUAGAGUACUGGAGAGGAGAGCGGAAUUCUUGGUGUAGCGGUGAAAUGCGUAGAUAUCAAGAGGAACACCGGUGGCGAAGGCGGCUCUCUGGACAGAUACUGACGCUGAGGCUCUAAAGUUAGGGGAGCAAACAGGAUUAGAUACCCUGGUAGUCCUAACUGUAAACGGUGUACACUUGGUGUGCGAGGAAUUGUCCCUUUGCGCGCCGCAGCUAACGCGUUAAGUGUACCGCCUGGGGAGUACGGUCGCAAGAUUAAAACUCAAAGGAAUUGACGGGGACCCGCACAAGCGGUGGAGCAUGUGGCUUAAUUUCGAUGCAACGCGAA
Molecule: ribosomal RNA, 800 nt
Filed under: uncultured bacterium
Lineage: Bacteria
Description: bacterial SSU rRNA
Rfam family: Bacterial small subunit ribosomal RNA
Source: RNAcentral